Rhodospirillales bacterium 69-11 is the source of this 93-nucleotide non-coding RNA. NCBI's taxonomy places the organism in Bacteria, Pseudomonadati, Pseudomonadota, Alphaproteobacteria, Rhodospirillales. The record is from Rfam.
AGGUCGGCGACGGACGUGUGCCUCGCCAACCCGGUCAGGUCCGGAAGGAAGCAGCCGCAGUGAGUUUCCACGCGGGUCGUUUGCCGGCCUCCC